UGAAACAUUGUCCUCGCCCUCACUUCAAAGUUGGUAAUUUGCAGAGGAUACAAAGUUAGACUGCACAGGCCCUAUUUCAUGACUUCUUAGAAGCUACAUUUCAGCCGGUAGGUGUCAAAUAGCUAGUAUUACCCUAAUAGUUUAAAUGAAGGCACCAGUCAUUAGGAAUGCGAGAACAGUCGGGGUAACCCAGACUUUUUUUUACGAGAGUGAUAUCUUACAACUUUGGCGUAAACAAUACAAUGCUUCACUCGUGCUUCUUUUUGGUAUGAUUCGGUUAGAAACCAGGCCUAAUUUAUCCCUUUUAAACCGGGAAGCGCGCGCUUGGGUUCUGCUCAGUCACACAAGUGCCCAUCAAACUCCGCGCCGCGGGCCGGACGAGCCCGGCAGUGACAAGGCGAAUCAAGGUACCCGUCUCGUCUUGACAGUGUUUGUAAACCUCUUGUUUCCACGGAUCAUUAUGAUCAGAGCUUUGCGGGGCCCGCGUGGCUCGUCUGAGCGGUGAUUAUUACAACGUUGAUGAAUGGGGAUCGCGUUUCUUCUAAUAGCCGCCCCCUAUUUUCACAACCUCCCACCGCUAACCUGAGAGCUCUCUGCCGCGACCUCCACUAAUUGGACUGAUUAUUGCAAGAUGUUUUAGAGAGCCCAUGGUGGCGCAGGGACAUGGUUUUCCGCGGCCUACACAGGGAACGGCUCUACGGGGGUUGAUGAGGGCAGGGAGGAAUGGAGCAGGAAUGAAGAGAUCUUGUCUUAAUUUACUGACAGCUAAGCCAGGUGAAGCUAUGCUACAAGGUGGGUCAAAGAGGCCUCUGGGGUAGCCGUGGCGGACAGACUCCCUGAGUCAUGUCUCAGAGUGCUGGGUGAACAAGUGCAGUCCACCAACGCUGCCAGGGCCCAGAUCGAUCCUGCAGGUCUGGGACAGGGCUGGGGACGAGUGGAGGGUGGCUGGAGAGGAGGAUGGAGGGAUGGACGAAUGAAUGGAGCAGACCUUUUGGCUGAAGUACCCCAGCUUGGACACACGCCCCUGAACAGAGCGCUCAUUGUUCCUCCGCGGCUCACUCCUUCUCUGCUUAAUUAAAGUGAAAUUGCUGAAGAAAGCGUCGCAACCCAGAGCCCAGUUCUGCGUUCAGACGUGGAGUGGAGUGGGCUUCCUCAGGGGAGAAGGGGGAUAUCUGUCUUCUGGCUUUUAUCAACCGCUGCAAGGAAUCAAAACUCUUCCACCCCCUAAGUCCUCCAUACCUCAUUCAACCCCCUGCAUAGGAGAAGCACACAGACACAGACAUGCACACAUAUAUGUUCACACACACACACACACACACACA
This is a long non-coding RNA of Osmerus eperlanus (European smelt), 1322 nucleotides long. RefSeq lists it as uncharacterized. The record is from RefSeq and is a predicted model, not a curated record. The transcript is spliced from 3 exons. Lineage: Eukaryota; Metazoa; Chordata; Actinopteri; Osmeriformes; Osmeridae.